UAAGGGCGCACGGUGGAUGCCUUGGCACUAGAAGCCGAUGAAGGACGUUACUAACGACGAUAUGCUUUGGGGAGCUGUAAGUAAGCUUUGAUCCAGAGAUUUCCGAAUGGGGAAACCCAGCAUGAGUUAUGUCAUGUUAUCGAUAUGUGAAUACAUAGCAUAUCAGAAGGCACACCCGGAGAACUGAAACAUCUUAGUACCCGGAGGAAGAGAAAGAAAAUUCGAUUCCCUUAGUAGCGGCGAGCGAAACGGGAAGAGCCCAAACCAACAAGCUUGCUUGUUGGGGUUGUAGGACACUCUAUACGGAGUUACAAAGGACGACAUUAGACGAAUCAUCUGGAAAGAUGAAUCAAAGAAGGUAAUAAUCCUGUAGUCGAAAAUGUUGUCUCUCUUGAGUGGAUCCUGAGUACGACGGAGCACGUGAAAUUCCGUCGGAAUCUGGGAGGACCAUCUCCUAAGGCUAAAUACUCUCUAGUGACCGAUAGUGAACCAGUACCGUGAGGGAAAGGUGAAAAGCACCCCGGAAGGGGAGUGAAAUAGAACCUGAAACCGUGUGCUUACAAGUAGUCAGAGCCCGUUAAUGGGUGAUGGCGUGCCUUUUGUAGAAUGAACCGGCGAGUUACGAUUUGAUGCAAGGUUAAGCAGUAAAUGUGGAGCCGUAGCGAAAGCGAGUCUGAAUAGGGCGUUUAGUAUUUGGUCGUAGACCCGAAACCAGGUGAUCUACCCUUGGUCAGGUUGAAGUUCAGGUAACACUGAAUGGAGGACCGAACCGACUUACGUUGAAAAGUGAGCGGAUGAACUGAGGGUAGCGGAGAAAUUCCAAUCGAACCUGGAGAUAGCUGGUUCUCUCCGAAAUAGCUUUAGGGCUAGCCUCAAGUGAUGAUUAUUGGAGGUAGAGCACUGUUUGGACGAGGGGCCCCUCUCGGGUUACCGAAUUCAGACAAACUCCGAAUGCCAAUUAAUUUAACUUGGGAGUCAGAACAUGGGUGAUAAGGUCCGUGUUCGAAAGGGAAACAGCCCAGACCACCAGCUAAGGUCCCAAAAUAUAUGUUAAGUGGAAAAGGAUGUGGCGUUGCCCAGACAACUAGGAUGUUGGCUUAGAAGCAGCCAUCAUUUAAAGAGUGCGUAAUAGCUCACUAGUCGAGUGACACUGCGCCGAAAAUGUACCGGGGCUAAACAUAUUACCGAAGCUGUGGAUUGUCCUUUGGACAAUGGUAGGAGAGCGUUCUAAGGGCGUUGAAGCAUGAUCGUAAGGACAUGUGGAGCGCUUAGAAGUGAGAAUGCCGGUGUGAGUAGCGAAAGACGGGUGAGAAUCCCGUCCACCGAUUGACUAAGGUUUCCAGAGGAAGGCUCGUCCGCUCUGGGUUAGUCGGGUCCUAAGCUGAGGCCGACAGGCGUAGGCGAUGGAUAACAGGUUGAUAUUCCUGUACCACCUAUAAUCGUUUUAAUCGAUGGGGGGACGCAGUAGGAUAGGCGAAGCGUGCGAUUGGAUUGCACGUCUAAGCAGUAAGGCUGAGUAUUAGGCAAAUCCGGUACUCAUUAAGGCUGAGCUGUGAUGGGGAGAAGACAUUGUGUCUUCGAGUCGUUGAUUUCACACUGCCGAGAAAAGCCUCUAGAUAGAAAAUAGGUGCCCGUACCGCAAACCGACACAGGUAGUCAAGAUGAGAAUUCUAAGGUGAGCGAGCGAACUCUCGUUAAGGAACUCGGCAAAAUGACCCCGUAACUUCGGGAGAAGGGGUGCUCUUUAGGGUUAACGCCCAGAAGAGCCGCAGUGAAUAGGCCCAAGCGACUGUUUAUCAAAAACACAGGUCUCUGCUAAACCGUAAGGUGAUGUAUAGGGGCUGACGCCUGCCCGGUGCUGGAAGGUUAAGAGGAGUGGUUAGCUUCUGCGAAGCUACGAAUCGAAGCCCCAGUAAACGGCGGCCGUAACUAUAACGGUCCUAAGGUAGCGAAAUUCCUUGUCGGGUAAGUUCCGACCCGCACGAAAGGCGUAACGAUUUGGGCACUGUCUCAACGAGAGACUCGGUGAAAUCAUAGUACCUGUGAAGAUGCAGGUUACCCGCGACAGGACGGAAAGACCCCGUGGAGCUUUACUGUAGCCUGAUAUUGAAAUUCGGCACAGCUUGUACAGGAUAGGUAGGAGCCUUUGAAACGUGAGCGCUAGCUUACGUGG
RNAcentral lists this ribosomal RNA (2173 nucleotides) under Staphylococcus aureus. RNAcentral describes it as "partial 23S ribosomal RNA". It matches the Rfam family "Bacterial large subunit ribosomal RNA", at positions 12 to 2183 of the family's 2925-position model. The record is from RNAcentral. Lineage: Bacteria; Bacillati; Bacillota; Bacilli; Caryophanales; Staphylococcaceae.